This 97-nucleotide transfer RNA is filed under the name Eremothecium gossypii ATCC 10895. RNAcentral describes it as "Ashbya gossypii ATCC 10895 tRNA". It matches the Rfam family "tRNA". Rfam says of the family: Transfer RNA (tRNA) molecules are approximately 80 nucleotides in length. Their secondary structure includes four short double-helical elements and three loops (D, anti-codon, and T loops). Lineage: Eukaryota; Fungi; Ascomycota; Saccharomycetes; Saccharomycetales; Saccharomycetaceae. The record is from Rfam by way of RNAcentral.
GAGAGUUUGGCCGAGUGGUUUAAGGCGUCAGAUUUAGGUUAUUCUCCUAAAAUCUCUGAUAUCUACGGAUUCGCGGGUUCGAAUCCCGUAGCUCUCA